AUGCCCGUGAGACGGCAUCAGAACAGGAGCCAGGGCUGCGGGAGCGGACUCUGCGCCUGCGGGAAGCUGUGCGCGCUCUCUGCAUCCCAGAACGCUGCCGACCCUCUACAGCCUUUCUCUUUCCACGGGGAACGUGACUCUGAGCCACCGCUGGGUGUGGGACGCACUCCGGGGCUCCAGCCCUGCAGCGCCCGCUCCGGAGACCCGGGGUGCGUGCAGCUGCGGGGCCCGGGGCCUCGUGGAAGGCCCGCGCGGAUUCAUUUGUGUGUCCACACAAGCCAGCCUUACAAGCAGAUCUACAGGCUCCCUGGACAGGAAGUUCGAGUCCCGCAUCCCUUCGCCAGCCGGGCCAGGAGGCGUUCGCACGCCGCCGUCCCCACAGCGACUGCAUCCCAGCGUUCUUCCCAGAAAGCCACCGGCUGUCACCCCUUCCUGGGGUCCCUUGGCCCCGCUCCGUGCGCCCGCUGCCCUCCUCUGCCCGGGAGCAGCCCGUGCAUGGUGGGCAGCCGCCUCCUCUCCCAGCUUCCAUCCCGCGGUAACGAGCGGGGCCGAGGGCUGGGGUGCCCCGCGCAGCGUGCGCAGCCCCCGGAGGAAUGGGCCACUUACCUGGCUAGUCACCUGGGAGGCCUCCUGGGCCGCGCGCCCUGUCCUGUCUGCAGCUCUGAGCCAGAGGCGGAUGCUCAGGGCCAGGGAGGGUUUGUCUGGAUGUCGACGCGUGGCGCACGGCGCGGGGCGCGGAGCUGUACUGGGGUAUCCUUUCUGGACGCGCACGCCGAGCGCCUCCCCGCGCGACCAGCUCCGCGCUCUCUCGUAGCCCGGCAACGGCCGCCGCCUCCCGGCGCCCCGCCCACCGCCCGGCGCCCCGCCCCCACGAGGCCUCGCCCACCAUCCGGCGCCCCGCUCAGUGCGACGCCCGCCUGCGCUGCUCCGCGCUCCCGCUGCUGUUGGGGGCGCUGGCGGCCCGCCCUAGCGGCUGCUGGAGGGGGCGCGUGCAACCCAUCCCAGACAGAACUGGGGAGACGAGGCGGGGAAGGGGGGAUGGGGGGGCCGCCACCGCCAGUCUUGGUCGCGUUGGUUGAACCUCCUUCCGAGAAAGAAGCCUUCGUUUCCACCCUGAGCGUACCUCUCCAGGAUCUUGGCUUUAUUGCUUCUGUGUGUGAGCCUAGGCCUGCGGAAAACCGUGGUCAGAUGUUUGGCUGUGGCACGGAGGUCACCAACAACUGGCUCAUUUGA
This 1233-nucleotide long non-coding RNA is filed under the name Oryctolagus cuniculus (rabbit). Its description in RNAcentral is "lncRNA (ENSOCUG00000033290.1)". Lineage: Eukaryota; Metazoa; Chordata; Mammalia; Lagomorpha; Leporidae. The record is from RNAcentral.